GCCUGAAUGGCCAAGGGGUAAGGCGUCGCACUUGUAAUGCGAAGAUCCGUGGUUCAAAUCCGCGUUUGGGCA
Molecule: non-coding RNA, 72 nt
Organism: Pyronema omphalodes CBS 100304
Lineage: Eukaryota; Fungi; Ascomycota; Pezizomycetes; Pezizales; Pyronemataceae
Source: Rfam